UUAUCUCAUAAACAAAUGCUUAUCAUUUCAUUUUCAUGCAUUUGAAUUGUUCCAGUCGAGAGAGUACACAACAACAUCAACAUGUAGACCAGAACAAUGCUUCCACGGAAUUGAUCAAUAGUGUGAUUGGCACUGAUGAGGAGGGUCGGUCUCGGCAACGGAUUCUUACAUUUGCUGCCAGGAGAUUCGAACUUUAGGAAUGCUAAGGUCCAAAUUUCAAUCAUUGCCUGCUGCUUUUAAUGCCUGUUUAAUUUCGGAGGAAAAGAGUGAGCCAACAAAAAAGAAAGGACUGCUGAAGUCCACUUUUUCUCAGAACUUUGCUCAGAUCCCAUCAAGCAAUGAAAAAGCAGCAGCAAGAUUUGCUCAGUUAUGGAACACAAUAAUCAACAGUUUUAGAGAGAGGAUCUUAUAAGUGAUAGGUAA
Camellia sinensis is the source of this 423-nucleotide non-coding RNA. The record is from RefSeq and is a predicted model, not a curated record. NCBI's taxonomy places the organism in Eukaryota, Viridiplantae, Streptophyta, Magnoliopsida, Ericales, Theaceae.